UGGGGAAUAUUGGACAAUGGGCGCAAGCCUGAUCCAGCCAUGCCGCGUGAGUGAUGAAGGCCCUAGGGUUGUAAAGCUCUUUCACCGGUGAAGAUAAUGACGGUAACCGGAGAAGAAGCCCCGGCUAACUUCGUGCCAGCAGCCGCGGUAAUACGAAGGGGGCUAGCGUUGUUCGGAUUUACUGGGCGUAAAGCGCACGUAGGCGGACUUUUAAGUCAGGGGUGAAAUCCCGGGGCUCAACCCCGGAACUGCCUUUGAUACUGGAAGUCUUGAGUAUGGUAGAGGUGAGUAGAAUUCCGAGUGUAGAGGUGAAAUUCGUAGAUAUUCGGAGGAACACCAGUGGCGAAGGCGGCUCACUGGACCAUUACUGACGCUGAGGUGCGAAAGCGUGGGGAGCAAACAGG
RNAcentral lists this ribosomal RNA (404 nucleotides) under Actinomycetes bacterium. RNAcentral describes it as "Actinobacteria bacterium partial 16S ribosomal RNA". It matches the Rfam family "Bacterial small subunit ribosomal RNA", at positions 355 to 776 of the family's 1533-position model. The record is from RNAcentral. Lineage: Bacteria; Bacillati; Actinomycetota; Actinomycetes.